UACGAGUGGUGCAAGCGUUAUUCGGAAUCAUUGGGCGUAAAGGGUGUGUAGACGGCAUAUUAAGUCAAUUGUUUAAUUCUCCGGCCUAACCGGAGUCCAGCGGUAGAUACUGGUAUGCUAGAGGGUGGAAGAGAGAAGUGGAAUUCUCGGAGUAGCGGUAAAAUGCGUAGAUCUCGAGAGGAACACCAAUGGCGAAGGCAGCUUCUUGGUCCAUACCUGACGUUGAGACACGAAAGCGUGGGGAGCAAACAGG
RNAcentral lists this ribosomal RNA (253 nucleotides) under uncultured bacterium. RNAcentral's name for it is "partial 16S ribosomal RNA". It matches the Rfam family "Bacterial small subunit ribosomal RNA", at positions 524 to 776 of the family's 1533-position model. The record is from RNAcentral.